RNAcentral lists this ribosomal RNA (576 nucleotides) under Campylobacter sp. S3h bx. Its description in RNAcentral is "bacterial SSU rRNA". It matches the Rfam family "Bacterial small subunit ribosomal RNA", at positions 90 to 686 of the family's 1533-position model. The record is from RNAcentral. Lineage: Bacteria; Pseudomonadati; Campylobacterota; Epsilonproteobacteria; Campylobacterales; Campylobacteraceae.
GAUUACUGGCGCACGGGUGAGUAAGGUAUAGUUAAUCUGCCCUACACAAGAGGACAACAGUUGGAAACGACUGCUAAUACUCUAUACUCCUGCUUAACACAAGUUGAGUAGGGAAAGUUUUUCGGUGUAGGAUGAGACUAUAUAGUAUCAGCUAGUUGGUAAGGUAAUGGCUUACCAAGGCUAUGACGCUUAACUGGUCCGAAAGGAUGAUCAAUCCCCACGGAAACUGAAACACGGUCCAAACUCCUACGGGAGGCAGCAGUAGGGAAUAUUGCGCAAUGGGGGAAACCCUGACGCAGCAACGCCGCGUGGAGGAUGACACUUUUCGGAGCGUAAACUCCUUUUCUUAGGGAAGAAUUCUGACGGUACCUAAGGAAUAAGCACCGGCUAACUCCGUGCCAGCAGCCGCGGUAAUACGGAGGGUGCAAGCGUUACUCGGAAUCACUGGGCGUAAAGGGCGCGUAGCGGAUUAUCAAGUCUCUUGUGAAAUCUAAUGGCUUAACCAUUAAACUGCUUGGGAAACUGAUAGUCUAGAGUGAGGGAGAGGCAGAUGGAAUUGGUGGUGUAAGGGUAAAA